This 1029-nucleotide long non-coding RNA is filed under the name Bos mutus (wild yak). RNAcentral's name for it is "lncRNA (ENSBMUG00000007341.1)". The record is from RNAcentral. Lineage: Eukaryota; Metazoa; Chordata; Mammalia; Artiodactyla; Bovidae.
CCCAGACCCCAGGUGGCUGUCACCUCUGCCGUGACAGAAGCCUCUCAUGACCACGGCCCCCACGAUGACCGCUACUGGCCGCCAGCUCUGGGUGCAACAACAUGCUGGCUGGACUCUGAGCCAAGGAAACCCACAUUCUCAAAACCACCCCACAGCUGCCCAAGGUCACCCAGCUGACGAGCAGUGGUCAGAGUCUGAAACCAGAACCACCCUCUUUCCGCCAUUAUCACAGCCACCCCUUAGAGACCCACACGGACACAUCCAAGCGGGCCAGGCUAGGAGGACUCUGCCUGCACAACCUCAGUGCCCCUCUAUGGCGCCCUGGGCAGUAUGCAUGGCCUUCCCUCCCACGGCGCGCUGGGGACAGUCUCAACUCUGAGCUGUGGCCCACACUGACCCCUCCCAGGCUGCCUGACCUGACAGCGGUUCUCAACAGGAGCACUGCAGACGCCGGGGUGGGACAGUUCUCCCGGCCCUGUAGCAGCCCUGACCCCCACCCAGUAAAUGCCACCAGCAGCACCCCCCAUACUGUGACAAUCCAACGUGUCCUCGUGCACCUCCGAAUGCCCCAGGCGCGGACACCUUCGAGGCCCAGCUCAGCCCCCACUUCCUCCCCAUCCCACCCUUGUCUCAGUGACCACCUUCCUCCCCACUCAGGACCCCAAAUUCAGCAUCUCCCAGUUGGGCCUCAUUUUCCUGCUUGGUCCAGAAGGCUCCAGCCAGAAACAGGGUUCCCAGAGGUCAGAAUGCCCAGAAGGCUUCCCACUGAGACCCCAGCAGGCAGGUGGUUAAAUCAAGGGACUGCCUUCCCUGGUCUGACACAGCUGUCACUCUCCCUGGAGACACACCAGCCACACCCCUGGCUGGCCUCCUCAGCAGGUCUGCACCCCAGGGUUGGUAAAUUCCAUGUAACCAAGUCUCAGAUGGAACCCAAGCUCUGAGCUCUGUGGCAUCCCUGGAGGUCAGGCAGAAGACACAGCUCUGCGUCCCCUGCACCCGCCCCCGCCCAUGCCUUAAUCACCUCUAAGG